RNAcentral lists this ribosomal RNA (253 nucleotides) under uncultured bacterium. Its description in RNAcentral is "partial 16S ribosomal RNA". It matches the Rfam family "Bacterial small subunit ribosomal RNA", at positions 524 to 776 of the family's 1533-position model. The record is from RNAcentral.
UACGAAGGGGGCUAGCGUUGCUCGGAAUCACUGGGCGUAAAGCGCACGUAGGCGGAUUGUUAAGUCAGGGGUGAAAUCCUGGAGCUCAACUCCAGAACUGCCUUUGAUACUGGCGAUCUCGAGUCCGGGAGAGGUGAGUGGAACUGCGAGUGUAGAGGUGAAAUUCGUAGAUAUUCGCAAGAACACCAGUGGCGAAGGCAGCGUCCUGGCGAGCAACUGACGCUCAUGUGCGAAAGCUAGGGGAGCGAACGGG